AACUGUUAUAGGUCUAGUUUAACCGGAAGUCGAGGAAGCGCGUCAGAAUUCAUUUACAACAUUGGGUGUCCCAAGCUAUCAAGUGUAGGUGUAGAGUUAGUGAGGUAGGUGAUCCUGACGUAUGCCGACUUGUAUGUGUGUCGUUUAUAUAGUGUGAGAACUUAGCGAAUCAUUGGACAUUUGUAGAACUCAUCAACGCAGCUGCAUUUACUUAUAGGGAGAUCAACAUGAAUACGUUACAGAGCUUAUGUGUAGUGGCACUAUUGUUUUGUUUAUGUGGACACACAGCCGCGAGGAGUAUCGAAUGUUCCACCCUGUGUACUCAGGGUUACUCAAUUUCAUCCUGUGAGUGUUGGAGGUUCAAGGUCAAACUGCCCUUCCGGUUUGGUAAAAGGGGAAGACUUCCAUUCAGAUACGGAAAACGAGAUUCGCCUGUGAUAUCAUCAUACGACAGUAGUAUAGAAAAACCGAGUUACGAUGACAUUUUGGAUUUAUUCCGUAACUACUCAUAUGAUGAAUACUAACAUCCGGGGAUUGACAGGUCUGGAUCAUAGGAUUGUUUGAAUCAACGUCUCAUGGAACCUUGUAAUGUCACACUUAAGUGCCUAUAGGGGUCAUCUCAAAAUUAUAUAACAGUAGACCUAACGAAUGUGCAAGUCUGUUUAGGAGACAUAUCAAACAUUUAUGUUGUUCAAAAUAGACAUUUUUCGUGAUAAAUUGCUCAUAUGUAUUAUUUUUGGUAAAUAUUAGGGGUUUUGUUUGUUAAUUGAAAUUUUAAAGUUUUAAGGCAAAUUUGUUUAUCUAAUAUCAUAACAAACCUACUCCCGAAAGUUCAGGAUCUAGUGGAAAGAAAAGCUGAACUCUUCUGAUGACCGUGAAGGAUUCGCUGGAUUUAGUGUACACAAAUCCAUAUCAAAACAUCAAUGUUGUGUAUAUACGUAUACCAAAAGAAUCAUAAGUGUAUGCUUGCACUAAAUCUUGCAAUACAAGCUAAAACGGAUCAAACAGGCUAUAUACAUGUUAUGCGCUUUCCGUGUGAAUGAUAGACCAAAGGAAACGAUCUUACUUGUGUUGCUGUAUUCGAUCCACAGAACAGACAAGAGUUUACCUUGAAAAUGUAGUUACAUUCGUAUUACAUUCGGAGUUUUUGCUUAACAUUUGAGGACCAGGGCUAUCUUGUGUCAAACAUCAAUUUAUUUUCCUCGCCUCAACCACGUCUUGCUAUUUUCGUCGAUCUUGAGAUGGUGUUGCUAUGCCUUAUGUUCUACGGAACUCUUCUGUUCGCUGAAGGUAAUAAAGUUAUUUGCGGAUGAGAUUCUGCAUGGAACAUAUGGAUACUUCCAAUGAUAACGCUUUGUGCUUCUCUUAAUGGCGGAAACAACUGUUAAAGAGACAUUUACUAUGAAUAAGUGGUUACCGGGGUCUUGAUUAAUGACAGAAGUUUGACCAAAUGGGGCUUUAUAGUCAUCAUCGAAGAAUAUUUAAUGGCUUUUACAGGAUGUCUAGAGGUCAAUAAAUUAUGAAAGUGUCUAUCAUUUAUGAUUUCCAGCAUGCUUUAUUCCUUAUGAACGUGCUUUUAUUUAACUCUGAAUAUGGUAGAUAUCGAUUUUCAGAGUAUUAUAAGGUCAUUUCACUCUGUUUCACCCGCGCACACAGCAUACUUAAGUGAGAAUUUUGAAUCAAUAUAAUCAAAAUGUCGGUCCUUUUUCCGGUUUAGUAUCUAGCAUAAGACUGAUAAUCGCAUGAUAAAGAAUGGUGUAGAUAUCUUCUAAUUCUAGGUAAGUGCAUCUCCGUUUUUUUUCUUUUUGUGUAUAUCUUGUUUACCCAAAUACUUUAUCAUAUAUCUUUCUCCCUUCCACACAAAAGAGUUCUCUGCAUUUAUUUAAAUUUAUAUAAAAAUGGCGAUAACAACAGGGAACACAUGUUUAUUGAGUACAAUCAGUAAUGAUUCGAAUAUUAUCUAUCUGUAUUUCAUCGUAAACUACAAAAAAGGGUGACAGUCAGGACGACUUCAUGCAAAGAUACCAAUCAUUGAGUUCAUGCGUCAUUCGUCUCCAUGGCGACAUCGAAUGAGCUUAUCGCUCCUUCAUAAAGGAUACUGUUACUUCUUAAUAGUUUGUCUUUACUGAUGUAUUGAGUAGGAUUAUAUUUCAGAAAGUAUUGCGGUUAAGUUAUGGCCGAUACAGCUGGGGUUUGUAUGAAGAUAAAAAUAUGCAUUGGUUUCCGAUUCCUUUAGCGAUUGACGCUUUAGAUUCAUUCAAUUGCCUAUAACACCUGUAAUAAAGACUUUACAAAGGAGCCCUGUUUCAGAAAAUAUCUUUAUUUAUACAGGGAAGAAGAUUAUUGUAGUUGUUGAAUGAUGUAUAUUCGAUUAUUUCUUAGUUUCGAAAUAAAAUUUCUGAUUCCGAAUUUAGUUUCCGGGAAAAAAACGUAUCCGGAAUUUUCAAUCCCAGAAAAAUAAAAUGUGUUUAACAUCAAAACUUUAAUGUUAAGUUACCCCCCUUUAGUUCGCCCUCAACCACGGAUAGGUUAGAUGAGUGUUUACUGUUGGGAGUAGAAAAUCAGUGUUCGCGUGCUUCAUUGAACAGAUCUGUUAUUUCAAAGCAAUCAUAAGUUAGAUUGAAACGAUUGUGUCUGUAUACUUAACACUACACAGAUAGAGGCAUUGUCCGGUUUGAUAAUGAAGAACAUAGAUCACUUGUGUUUCCUAAACAAGUCUUGUGGGAAAUCACUUUACACGUUUAAGAUGUGUAGAAACAUUUCACAUAUAGAAUUUACACGUGUAAAUACGUGAAGAAAUAUUUCACAUAUAGAAUUUAUACGUGUAAAUAUGUAUACUGUAAACGUCUAUAUUUAGCGUAAAGUAGGUGGAUGUAAUGCUGAAUUGGUACAGCCGCAAUACAAUAAUAAAUUAACGAAAUAGCUUGAGCGCAAAUAUCGCUAAAAUAAGAUUACCGCAAAAAUAAUAUUACCGCUAAAUUAUCAUUACCGCUAAAAUAACUUUCUGCUAAUAUAUCUACGUUUACAGUAUUUUAGAAGUGUUUGUAACUUUGAAGACACUCUACAUGCGUUUUGUUAGUACGGCACGUGAUGUGUGUAGGGCUGGCACUGAACUACUCGCAUUUCGCCUCGUAAACAAGUUUGGAAGGUGACAUUGGACAUGGUUCUACCAGUACUACCAGCCUGUAAUAUUUAUUUUCUUAUAAGAAAAUAAUAAUAAAAAAUACAAUAAACAUUU
This is a long non-coding RNA of Pecten maximus, 3238 nucleotides long. RefSeq lists it as uncharacterized. The record is from RefSeq and is a predicted model, not a curated record. NCBI's taxonomy places the organism in Eukaryota, Metazoa, Mollusca, Bivalvia, Pectinida, Pectinidae. The transcript has 3 exons.